This 1736-nucleotide long non-coding RNA is filed under the name Salmo salar (Atlantic salmon). Its description in RNAcentral is "lncRNA (ENSSSAG00000097713.1, ENSSSAG00000116384.1)". The record is from RNAcentral. Lineage: Eukaryota; Metazoa; Chordata; Actinopteri; Salmoniformes; Salmonidae.
CUUUUUUACCUUCCGGAUACAAGCUCUGCUGCCUAGGACGUUCGUCUGCCCAGAGGUGGAACGCGACAAGAUACAGACACGCAGUCAGAUUAGUGAUCAAAUGUUUUGUUUCCAUCAUCAUUGUAAACAUUGGCUAAGCAGGAAGCAGACAGGCUAUCAAAGAAGUAGUGAUCUUUUUGUCAUGAACUACCAUAUGGUAGAAACUAUAAAGAUUAGCCUAACUAAACACACAAAAAUCUGAUUGUUUUUGCUUCAAUGUGACUUUCCACAGCAUGAUUCUUCUCCAGUAACGUAGAGUGGCUGAAAAUGCACUUCGGGGAUGAAAUUUCACUUCCUUAUCUUAUAAAAUACAUCUUUUUUUUACCAAGACAAAUAUGAUUUUUCAUGUUCUGAAUUAUUCAAUAGGGUCUUUCUCUAACAUACAGUAUCAUUAACAUGAUAUUCAACCUGUCAGAUGUCCUGACCUAUAAUACAUCUGAUAAUAAACACCAAGCUCUGUUGGCAUAGCAGUGCAGGUUUCUCGUAACUUUUGAGGAUUUUACAUGUUGUGGUCAUCGUCUUCAAAGUUGUUUUAACGGGUCGGAAAAAGACAAACUGGCAUGACAUGAGCUGAAGUAAAUUUAAAAGGUUUUGAAAAAAUAAAGCUUGGUAUUCAAUCAGUGUUCGGCUGACAUUUCAUAUGCAAUUUUCCUGAUUUAGUCACUCUAAUUUUGGCCAUUUUACAAGGGUGAAAACUCCAAUAACUUUUGAACGGAUUAUGUUAGAGACAUGAGGUUUGGACCAUGGGGUUUCUUAGCUCAUUGAUUGGACACCUUAAGUAAUGCUAGAAUUUGAUAAGUUGAUUCCGAUUCUGACUAGAUGUCACAUUGCCGGUAGACUAACAGUGUUGACGCCACGUUACAGGUGGACUAACAGUGUUGACGACACGUUACAGGCAGACUAACAGUGUGGACGCCACGUUACAGGUGAACUAACAGUGUUGACGACACGUUACAGGCAGACUAACAGUGUGGACGCCACGUUACAGGUGGACUAACAGUGUUGACGACACGUUACAGGUAGACUAACAGUGUUGACGCCACGUUACAGGCGGACUAACAGUGUUGACGACACGUUACAGGCAGACUAACAGUGUUGGGGAAGUUACAGGUAGACUAACAGUGUUGACGCCACGUUACAGGUGGACUAACAGUGUUGACGCCACAUUACAGGUAGACUAACAGUGUUGACGCCACGUUACAGGUAGACUAACAGUGUUGGGGAAGUUACAGGUAGACUAACAGUGUUGGGGAAGUUACAGGUAGACUAACAGUGUUGGGGAAGUUACAGGUAGACUAACAGUGUUGGGGAAGUUACAGGUAGACUAACAGUGUUGUGGAAGUUACAGGUGGACUAACAGUGUUGGGGAAGUUACAGGUGGACUAACAGUGUUGGCGUCACAUUACAGGUAGACUAACAGUGUUGACGCCACGUUACAGGUGGACUAACAGUGUUGGGGAAGUUACAGGUAGACUAACAGUGUUGGGGAAGUUACAGGUAGACUAACAGUGUUGGGGAAGUUACAGGUGGACUAACAGUGUUGGGGAAGUUACAGGUGGACUAACAGUGUUGACGUCACGUUACAGGUGGACUAACAGUGUUGACGCCACGUUACAGGUAGACUAACAGUGUUGGGGAAGUUACAGGUGGACUAACAGUGUUGACGUCACGUUACAGGUGGACUAACAGUGUUGACG